GGAUGAUGGUUUAACACGGCUUCGUUUCGCCAUAUCCACAAUUCCACAUAUAGAAAGCAGCAGAUGGUAGGGGUUUAUACUCUAUCCUUAAACCCCGCCCCUGAAACCCAUAAUCUUCCCCUACCUCUCGCCUCUUCGCUUGCAUUCAAAAUCAUCGCCACCAAAACCUAUAAACAGAAACUCCAAAUAGAAAACAAAUGCUUGUCUGUCGCUCUGCUUCAAUGCUUCAUUUGUACAAACUAUCAUCUUCGUCUACACUGUUACUGUCACAAUUGAAGCACUCUUAUUCUUAUCUCUCUAAUUCUCCUCCAUCCUCUUUAUUUUUUCCAUCGUCUUCUCUCAGAAUUCGCUUCUUUUCGCUUAAUAAUUCCUAUGGAAGAGGUAAUCGGCGUUUUUCCAUUUCAGCCACCGCUGUUGUCCCUGAUAAAGGGGGAACCGACACGUUCUUCGCCGAAGAAGGCGUUUCGUGGGCUUCUUUGGGCUUAUCUGAUCGGCUUUGCCGUGCUAUCUCUAACGCUGGCCUUGAAAGACCGUCUUUAGUUCAGGCUAACUCCGUACCGGCAAUACUCUCGGGGAAGGAUGUGGUAGUUGCAGCUGAGACUGGUAGUGGUAAAACACAUGCCUACCUAGUUCCUUUAAUUGACAAGUUAUACAAUCCACUGGACUAUAAUAGAGACUCCGUCUCUGAUCAAGGAUUAAACCCGUCAGAUAGACUUUCUUUGGUUCUUUGCCCAAAUGUAUUGUUGUGUGAACAAGUGGUUCGAAUGGCUAGUGGUCUUUGUGAUGAUAAUGGCGAACCACUGCUUAAAGUCACUGCCAUCUGUGGCCGACAGGGAUGGCCAGUUAAUCAGCCAGAUAUUAUUGUGUCAACACCAGCUGCUCUUCUAAAUAAUAUUGACCCCAAAAAACAGAGAAAGUUUAAUUUUAUUCGUCGUGUGAAAUAUGUGGUUUUUGAUGAAGCAGACAUGCUUCUCUGUGGGAGCUUCCAGAAUCAGGUUAUCCGACUAAUAAACAUGCUCCGUUUUGAUGAAAAGCAAUUGUCUGAAGUAAAUAAAUCUGGACAUGAGGAUAGAGUGGAAUCAGAUUCUGAUUCUCAUGGGGAGAAUGGCUUGGAAGAUGAAGAGGGACUUCAAAAUGAAUCUAUCGCAGAAGAGGAUGGAGAUUUUGAAGAUGAUAUUGAAGUUGACUUGAAAGCAGAAAGUGAAGCGGGGUCCAUCAACAGAAAAGGCUGGAGGAGAGUAAGAAAAGAUUAUUUGCGCAGUAAGCAGUACAUUUUCAUUGCAGCCACCCUACCAGUUAACGGAAAGAAAACUGCUGGAGCAGUGUUGAAACGGAUGUUUCGAGAUGCCAAUUGGAUUAGUGGAACCUAUCUACACUGUCACAACCCUAGGUUGGAACAUAAGUGGAUUGAAGUUACAGUUGAUUCCCAAGUGGAUGCACUAAUAGAUGCUGUGAACCAAGGAUCUGGAUCUGAUGUUGGUGCAAGUCGAACUAUGGUUUUUGCAAACACUGUGGAUGCUGUUGAAGCAGUGGCUAAAAUAUUGGAGAGAGCAGGGAUUGAAUGCUAUCGUUACCAUAAAGACACCUCUUUGGAGGAACGUGCAAAGACAUUAAUGGAUUUCCGAGAGAAAGGUGGAAUCUUUGUAUGCACUGAUGCUGCUGCACGUGGAGUUGAUGUUCCAAAUGUGUCACAUGUUAUCCAGGCAGAUUUUGCUACCUCUGCUGUAGAUUUCUUGCACAGGGUUGGCCGCACGGCUCGAGCUGGUCUAUAUGGACUUAUCACUAGCCUGUACACUGAAUCCAAUCGAGAUCUUGUUGAUGCAAUUCGUCAAGCAAAGAAACUGGGUCAGCCAGUGGAAUCAGCCUUUAGCAGAAAAAGAAGCUUCAGAAAAAAACUUAAGAAGAGAGAUGCUAUCUCCGAAACCGAGCACAAAGUUGCAGUGCAUUAAAAUUUUUGCUAAUGCUCAUGCCUGCCAAAAUUUUUACUUGACAAGGUUCUGGCAAAGUCAGCGACGCAUCAGCUAAUGCAAUGGCAAGCGUCUGAAGAACUUGCAUACUGGAAAUUAAUUAACGCCAAAGGCCACCUUAUAGAGAACUCGGGCAUGUGAAUUUCAUCUUUCAUAACACGCAUGUUUAUUAUAUUUAGUACUUAACUCACUUAUUGGUUGAUAUGAUCCUCUUGUUUAGUGUAUGAACUUUUGCAAUUUAUUCUACUUUGGCGGAUUCUGUUUAUUUAGAAAUAUAUAUUUAUCGGAUAUCAGAUAUUCUGAUGUCCUCACAAAAUGUUAGACAGUGACAAGUCUUCAAUGAGAAUCAAGUGUCUAUGGAUUUGCUUUCA
RNA transcript from Jatropha curcas, 2338 nucleotides. It is a transcript of the gene named DEA(D/H)-box RNA helicase family protein, with no coding region annotated. The record is from RefSeq and is a predicted model, not a curated record. NCBI's taxonomy places the organism in Eukaryota, Viridiplantae, Streptophyta, Magnoliopsida, Malpighiales, Euphorbiaceae.